GCCUUGUUAACUGGGUUUUCUUCUUUGCUGAAGUGGAAAAGCUCAAGAAUAUUUUUUUCAAAGAAGGAUAUAUCGAGUAAGAGUCCACGAAAUGCUGGAUCUGCAGAUGAAGUUUUACUUGACAAAUACGUACCUGCAAAUGCAAGUUGUCAGUUUUGAAGGAUGAGAUUACUGGUUCAGAAUAACUUUCUUAAACUGGAGGAUAAGCAAGCUGCUUUGAGAAAGCCCUUGGCAAUGAAAAUUCAAGAUCUAUAUGAAUCCGGAAUACUGCCCUUGUAGUAUGAAACACCGUAUUGAAGUUUUGGGUGUAACCUCGGCAGUUGGCCGUUGGCUCUUGUACCUGUAGUACUGCAGGAUGAAUUGAGAAUCAUUAACACACCUUUUCUGAAGAAUGCAGUGGCUAAGAGCAGUCAUUAUUUGAUCCUUACAAGACUAUUUGAAGCAUGCUGAAGAAUGCAAUGGCUAAAAGCUGCUGUUAUUUGAUCAUUACAAGACACUAUUUGAAGCAUGCUGAAGAACGCAGUGACUAAGAGCAGCUAUUAUUUCAUCAUUACAAAGCUCAAUUUGAAGUUUGGUGAAGAAUGCAGUGGCUAAGAGCAGUCAUUAUUUGAUCAUUACAAGGCGCUAUUUGAAGCAUACUGUUGAGAAAAUUACUGAAAUCUUUAAGUUAAGAAAGCAGAGUUGGCUGGAUUCCUUCAGGGCCAUAUUUGAAGUACUGUUAUUAACACGAAUGGAUUUUCUUCUGGGACCCCUGCUGUUACUUAAAGCAGAUUGUUAGACUGAAGACCUUAUUUCGAGAGCUGCUGCUUGUCAGACAUUGAUUUUUUUAAAAACCUUUACGUGCAGUUACUGGAAGAAUAAAAUUUGUAAUGGUCCACGGGUCCUGGAAGACAGCCUUCCAGAUGGUCAACAGCAUAGUUCGAGGGCCGUUUUUACCAAGCUUAAAAGCGUCACUAGAAAUGAACCUGCUUUUCUAACCUUCCAUGAUUGAGGUACAGAUGUCUACCAGUAUUCCAAGACAAAAAAUGUACGAAUUUGGGAAGAAAAAACACGGAACCUGUAUCACAACACUGGCUUCAGGAGAGAGGACGCGUUUCUGAGCAGAGAGGCACCCAUCAGAGCAGAGGGUCCUCUCAUGGAAAUGGUGAUUACGGAGUUUCGUCUGGUUUUAUGCUCUUAGGAGAUGGAACAAAGCCCUCAGGUCAUUCAUGUCCUUUUCUAUACUUUGUUGUUUCCCUUGGCUCUAUUGAAGUACUUGGUGAAUUUUCCAUUGAUGGAAUUUCAGUAAAGAUUUCUCUGGUGUAUCUUGGGUACACUGUGAGUCAGACGGCUGUCAUGACUACCACUGUAUACAUUCAUCUACUUUAACUUAUGGCUGUAACUUUGAAAAUGCAUGUAAUGGUUCUCUGGACAUGUCCUGACAUCUGUUAUAAUUUGUCCGUAAGUUCACUUAUGUUUAAAGUUUGAUUAUUCUGAGGCAAAAAUUUCCAAAUGUGUCUUUCUCAACAGCAAUAAUUAGGAAUGUGUGUGGUAUUUAGUCUGUUUAAUCAUCGUUCAAUCAUCGGAAUAUAAUUUCUUAAUUUGUAGCUUUAGUUUGUUAGUAAUUUAGUUACUAGCUACUAUACUCUGUUUUUUUUUCCAUCUGUCCAUCCGCUUGUGGUAUUUGCACAUGGUAACACUGGGUCCCGGGCUUUAAAUAAUAUCAUAUUUCGAAUAUUAAGUGUAAUUCGCAUACAGUAAAUUAUUGAAACACUUUUCAGUUGCAAAUGCACACCCAGAUAUCCUUUUAUCCACCUAAAACUUAGUCAUAGCGUAACUAUUUAAAGCCCGGGACACGGUGUUACCAUACGAAAACACCACAGGCAGAUGGACAGAUGGAAAAAAACAGAGUAUAGUUGUAUGGAUAAUCGUAUUAGUAACUGGCUUUGUUUUAAAAAAAUUAUAACAGACUGCUAAGGUUUUUUUAAUCAUCUCCGUAAACAUCUACGUACUUUGAAGUAUGUGUCCUGAUUUCUGCAUUAUAGACUCAAGUUUAUAUGAACCUCUUAUUUUCUUUUACAAGUAAGUUUAGAGAAGUUGGAAAUGUUGCUAAAAUUCUUGUCAAAUGCCUUGUAAACGUAACGGAAAAAAAUAUUCAGGUAUUUCAUAAACGAUUUGUUAUCCUUUUUAUCUUGAGUUACAAUACAUUUCAUAACUUGUGCUGGACGGCUAGUAAAUGGUUAGUACCAUCUUGAACGUGUCUUGAGUGUUGUUAAUAUUGUGUAUUUGACUUGAGCAGUAGUGAAUCACAGUGGCUGUCCUGGAAGGUGGUUAAAUUCUUGACGCUCUGCUUAGAAAAUAGUGAAUGAUGAUGAAGCAGGUUUUUAAAUAAUUCCUUGGAGAAAGACAGUGACAGGAAAUGUCAUAAGGCAAGGGAAGGAGUAUAGAAUUGUUCAUUACAAAUGUUUAGGGGUCCUACGUUAAUCAAAAUGAGGUGCUCCUGAAAAUGAUUUACAUGCAAGAUAGUAUAUCUCAGGUCAGUUAAAAAUAGGGUAUACCUAACAUUCUUUGGUUAGUGGGAAGUUUAUAAUUCUGACUUUUAUCGUUCCCUUGAGGCCUGUAUCCUAAAAAUGCUUCAGUAAAAAGCAAAUGCUACAGCACCCUUUCAUUGCGAUUUUGUAUUAUUGUUUUAGUACAGAAUUAUUGAUUUAUUCUUCACAUUUGUCACGCCACUUUAGUUAUAAUAAUUAAUUUUGUCUUAGCUUCCUGCUUCGAAGGGGGUAGUGCCGUUAGUGCAUCUCACUCGGUGCACUGUAGGCGUUACUGAAGGUUCUCUGCAGCAUCCCUUUGGUCCCUAGCUGCAACCCCUUUCAUUCCUUUUAUGUACCUCCCUUCAUAUUCUCUUCAACCUUGCUAACCAUCCUUUCUUAAUACUUGUUUUAUAGUGCAGCUGCGAGGUUUUCCUUCUGUUCACCAUUCAAGCCUUUUUACUAUUAUAUUUUCUUUCAGCGUUGAAUGACCUCAUAAGUCCCAGUGCUUUGCCUUUGGCCUAGAUUCUAUAGUCCAUCUUAGUUUCCUGGAGUGAAUACUCUGUAUUAUCUCUGGUCUUUGUCUAGUGAUAUUUUAGUUGAAAGUGUGUAAUGGAUUGUGUAUCUUAAGGCGGCGUUCUUCUCAAAGUCACGUCAUGUGAGGGAAGUAGUAUUGUAAAUUAAAUUACCUCGGGUUUUAAAUUUGUUGCAAAUUUUUCUUCAAAGCUGGUGGUUAAUGGUAAAUCAUGAGAUUUUGGUUUUUGAUCUAUCCAUCAACUCUUGGUUAAACAUUUCAUCUUCAAAUUCAAAGCUGAUUGCAAUUACAGUGUUGGUGUUAAGUUUUUACUUAUGUUUUGUAUUUGUUUUCGAAAAAUGUCUAAUUGUUCUCCAAGUUCAGGAGUCGAUAUUCAAUUUUGUUUGGGCAGUGUCUUACAUUUCGAAAUCUGGCUUGCUUUUAAAGUUUGUAAAAUCACAUUAGAAAUCAUUAUGUAAUUAGUUUACGAAUAUCUGUCUUAGUUUGAGUUUUUUAUUAGAUUGAAAUUAAUAAAUCUUUCAAUCCUUUCGAGUUGAGAGCUUGUUUAUACCUCAGGCUUUCUAUUAUGCGUCCUAGUGUGUUCAUUCGAGCAGGGAUAUUCGUGAUUGGAUGUAGAUAUUAAUUUACUGCUUUUACAGUACUUUUCCAAAUCUGAUUAUUUGUAUCGGAGAUAAUUAUUAUUUUGAUAAAAAUAUUUAGGCAUGUCCUGAGUUCAUGUAUUUUAAUAGUUAAUCUACUUGAAGUGAAAAGUUUUCAUAAUAACCUUCCAAGGGUUGUGUGUCAGGGAUUGCUAAGUGUAUCUGUUCAUAUUUCUGUGGGUGGAAUAAACACGGCUUGCAUGUAGUUAGUUUAUAGCUAAUUAGGACAAGACCAGUUCGUCAUAAAUCUACAUAGUUGUAUACAUGUUAAUAAAUGUAAAUGAUUGAUAUGCAAUUAGUACCUUAACAUCGCUAGUAAAGUUUGUAUUAACAUCUCCUCUGGCGCAAAAUAUUGGUUCACUAUUAACUGCCAUGACCUCAUUUUUGCCUUAAUGCCUGUACCCAGCACUGUUGAAAAUUUCUAACCAUUGAAUAAUAGAAUGAUGUGGCUGACUACAAACCCAUAACUGCUGUGCACUUUUGCGAAAGGAAUCGAUUGUAGUUUUAUGUAUAAGAGCUUUUAAAGCCUUCGUAUAUUUAGAAAAUAUUUGAGUUUUUCUAAUGAUUUUAUAUUGACCACGUGAUUAGCUGGAGUAAAUCAAUUUUCCGUAUUAAAAAAGUGUAUUUUCAUACCACUAAAACGCCCACUCAUGAUUAAAACCAUUUCAUGUUUAGUUCCUUUACUUUAGAUGGUAAUUCUUGUGGUUUAACAAGUCUCCAUUGACAGCCUGGAAAUUGUAAGACAUUUAUUUCAGUAUGGCUUAGCAUACAGCAUUUAAACGUUCAAACCUUAGAAACUUUAGAGAGAUGAGCGUUUGCAGGAGGAAUAUUUUACGGGACGCUUAUUGAAAUAAAUUUUUUUUUAAGUUAUUUAAUCAGAUGAUAAAUGUUUCGGAAUGUAGAAAUAACUUGCCUAAACUGCAUUAUCCAAGUGGUUCGUCAGAUCUACCGCUAAAUUAGUUCAAUUCAUAGUUUCAGCAAAAUGAACACAAUUUCAUGUUUUCAAUCGUCUUUAAACGUAAGGCAAACACUGGCUUACCUCAACGUUAACUUUAUGCCGUGUUAAAUUAACUUUUAACAGCUUUCAGCAGCGUAAAAACACAUUUGUAGACAUACUCCAUAAAAUUAACCUACAGUUACGUGAUUAGUAGAUGAAAUACAGAAAGUAAAGUUCACUCAACAUUGAGGUAUGGUAAUAAUCUAAGUCGGUAUAAAUACGGACGUAUUAUUUAUGUAAUCUUACUUGCAAUUCAUUCAGGUAUUUAGAUUAUUGCGUAAAUAAGCGAAGGUAGCAAUUGAAUGUGAUGGUGCCGAAUGUGUUAUUUUUUUUUUAUAAAAUUAUAAUUUACCUGUAUUGGCCCAUAAAAAAUGUACAUAAAUCAUUGCGUUGAAACUUCCCACAGAAAAGUAUAAUGAACGACCAUGCGUGACAAUGAGGCCGUGAAGCCAACCGAGUAUUAAAUUGAAUCUUAGUAAAAAAAAAUAAGGACUUUAGCUAUUAAUGUUCAAAGUUUUUCAUUACUAACCGUGCUCGCAAGUACCCACGAAUGUUUAUCUCGGUAACUAUUUUUCGUCGGAGUUUCAGACGAGGUGCUUAGUGUGUAGCAUUCUUAAGUCAUUGCAUCAUAACAUUUGGUUACAAACUUGAUAAUGUCAGUUAAAUCAUACUUUUAAAAAACGAAUUUAAGAAUGAUAGCUUGAUGAGUGUAUAGUAGAAUUAAGUAGGGAUAAGAGAUUUAAGUAGGUGUAUUUGUCAAGUACUAGAAAUAUCAAAGUGCAUGUAGAAAGUAGGAUAACUCGUGUGGAAGUCGAAUUAGAGGAGUUUGUAGUAAAUGCUCUGUUCAGUUCCAAUGGACGAGUAUCGAGUUAGGAUAAUAAGAGCCCGUAAAUCAUGGCACUGUUAAUGGCUGUGCAGUAGUGAAACAACAUAGGUCAUUCCGAAGUCUAUAGUUGGGUAAUUAAGUUUGUUUUUUCUUAGUGGUUUUUGUCCAGGCAAAUGUGGAGAGCCUGAGGGAACAUAGUCAUGCAGUUAAUUAAAAUGGUUGCUGUUUGUGUGUUUUAAAUUUUUUUCCUGUGGUUUGUCGAGUCUGUAUGGCUGAAAUGUAUUGUAACACAAGGUUAAUGGAUGAAUUGCAUUUAUUUUAUUUAAUAGAAGCAUAACUGGCAUUUUUCUUCGUUUAUAAAUCCCUUCAAAUGUUUUCUGAAGGACUUAAAUUUUCAUGACAAAAUACUUAGAAUUUUUCAAGUCUUGUAAAUUGGAAUUCAAAAACCAUGUAAAAUCAAAGUAAUAUGUUUAAGCAUUAUGAAUAAAUAAACUUAAACUAGAUUAUAUUUAACACCGAAUAAGUUAUAUAGAACAUGCUUACUAUAGUAAAGCAUUUUCAGGAAAAUUCGAGGUUCGUAUGUUUGCCUUUGUAACGAUACGUAGAUAAGUUUUUAGUUUUAAUAGCUUUCGUAGUAAAUAUUUACGCGAGCCAGUAAUUACUGUCUACGGAUAUUAGUUUAUUAGUCAAUUCUUAAUUUUUAGUCUCAAAGAAUUUCGUGGCGUGCUUAGAACAGUGUAGUACUAGUAAAUUUAUAUGUUUUGAGGACUUUUUAAUCAAUCUCGUAAAGUAACUUGAAAUUGUAAGCUUGCAAGUUGAUUCUCGUAAAAUUUAACUGAAUGGGCAAUGACUAAAGUUUUGAAGCAUAGGUAAUAAAACUCGAAAGUUAAGCCAUUUCAAGUUUGAAAGUUAAGUUUUGCGGGUUGAAAUUCUUAAAUUUGAACAAACUUCACUGAUAAACCGAGGAGUUUUAAAGUCCAGCUAUUAUCUCAAAAUUGCUUUGACUAAAUUUCCAAUGUCCCAAAUUCGAUUUAAACCCCCUGUAUGAGGUGAACGUGUGUUUAGCUUUAUAGCCUUAAUUUUCAUAAAGCUAAAGUUAAAACUUCCUUUUGAAAGGUGCUCACCAAUCGUCUUUUAAAUGGUGCUAUUUGGUAUAUUACCAGUAUCUAAGUAAUCCCUAAAGUUUUGAAUCCAUGUGAUUAUUGUAAAUUGUUUAAUUCUUAUUUAUCUUUACCUCCGUCAAUACUUAAAUUCGUUCAAUCAUAGCUGUGCGAUAAACUAAAAUUGUGAUAUUGGAUACACGUGCGAUAGAUUCAUUCCUGCGGACGUUUUAGUGGAAGUUCACAAAACACAGUAGUUCAGUUUAGUUAUUUCAAGACUUAACUGGCUUAUCAAUAAAAGUUUUCAAAGGAAAUGUUAACUAUAGUAGUCUCGCUACCGGCCACUUGCUAGACAAGCUAAUAUUUUAGGCACACCUGUCUUGCUGUUUAACAUGAGAUGGAUUCGGCUUAUUUCCUCGAUCUUGCUGUUUAACAAGAGACUGAUUCGGCUUAUUUCCUCGAACAAGAAAUAGUGUAGUAUAGGGUAUAGGUACAUUAAUUCUAUUUGGAAACUAAUGCCAAAGAAGAAUAUUUAGCAAGCAUUAGCAUAAAAAAACCUCAGGCAAACUAUAUCAGAUUUCAGGCCAUGCGUAUUCAGUCUCAUUGCAUGAUUUUUUAGAAACGGCCACAACAAGUUCGCUGAUGCAUAAUUGCUGGUAGUCGUGAUAACCCUAAGGCUCAUAUUGUACUUCUGCAACAUUAGAUUAAUUACUGAAAUCCUUGACAGAAUUACCAAGAGCAAGGUAAAGGCCAAGUCUGGAAAAGCAUAAGGUCACGUGAGAGGUUUGUUACAUUUCCUAUUAGCGUAAUAAAUAAAGCAAGCUCGUAACCACACUUUCAUUAGCAGAUGGCUUUCUACUGCUUUGUCCAGUUAAACUGGGUGUCUUCAGAAGGUGAAAAAUUCCUAACAUACUUGUAAGCACUGAUUAUCCCAGCUGGAUAGGUAUGAAAUGUUGUGUUUUUAAAACUUAAUUUUUUUUUCUGAAUUGGACCCUGAAAUUUUUAUAAUGGUUAAAUAAAAGUGCGU
Long non-coding RNA from Macrobrachium nipponense, 7630 nucleotides. RefSeq lists it as uncharacterized. Lineage: Eukaryota; Metazoa; Arthropoda; Malacostraca; Decapoda; Palaemonidae. The record is from RefSeq and is a predicted model, not a curated record. The transcript has 5 exons.